CCUACGGGAGGCAGCAGUGAGGAAUAUUGGUCAAUGGGCGCGAGCCUGAACCAGCCAAGUCGCGUGAAGGAUGACUGCCCUACGGGUUGUAAACUUCUUUUAUGAAGGAAUAAAGUGAGGCACGUGUGCCUUUUUGUCUGUACUUUAUGAAUACGGAUCGGCUAACUCCGUCCCAGCAGCCGCGGUAAUACGGAGGAUCCGAGCGUUAUCCGGAUUUAUUGGGUUUAAAGGGAGCGUAGAUGGGUUGGUAAGUCAGUUGUGAAAGUGUGCGGCUCAACCGUAAAAUUGCAAUUGAUACUGGCAGGCGUGAGUACAGGUGAGGUAGGCGGAAUUCGUGGUGUAGCGGUGAAAUGCGUAGAUAUCACGAAGAACUCCGAUUGCGAAGGCAGCUUACUAAACUGCCACUGACAUUGAGGCUCGAAAGUGUGGGUAUCAAACAGGAUUAGAUACCCGUGUAGUC
Molecule: ribosomal RNA, 460 nt
Filed under: uncultured bacterium
Lineage: Bacteria
Description: partial 16S ribosomal RNA
Rfam family: Bacterial small subunit ribosomal RNA
Source: RNAcentral